UCCAACCCAGGAACCCAGACGCUCCCGCUCCCAACCCUCCUCCCUGUCGCGUUCCAACCAAGCUCGUCCCCGGCUUGCCCUCCUCGCUUCCCUCGCUUCGCGUGAAAAAGAGUUUUGAAAGAAUCGCUGCAGCAGCAUCUUCGCCUGAUGCUUGCCACAACUUCGCCCAACCGUCCUCCCUGUCGCGUUCGAACCAAGCUCGGGAGCUUGCCGUGAAAGUAAUGGAAUUGUUCAGGCCAUGAUAUUAUGAGGAAUGCGUGGGAGAUUUUCAACUCAGUUGUUGAACAUUUGCAUUGCUUCACUAUGUAAGGCUAGGAAAUUGGAUAAGGCUGAGGCUGUUGUUGUUGAUGGAAUAAGGCUAGGUUGCCUUCCUGAUGUUGUGACAUAUAAUACUCUUAUCGCUGCAUAUUGUCGCUUUGUGGGCUUAGAUCAAGCAUAUUUGAUUGUUAGAAGAAUGCGAGAAGCAGGGGUAAAACCUGAUGUGAUUACAUACAAUUCCCUUAUGGCUGGGGCAAGUAGAUAUAAUCUGCCCUCUUAUUGCCGUCAUCUGUUCGAUGAAAUGUCAAAAGAUGGAAUAACACCUGAUGAAUGGAGCUGCAAUACUUUGAUGCACUGUUUGUUUAACUGUGGGUGUCCAGAGGAAGCCUUUCAGAUAUUUUCUGAUAUGAGUUCAAAAAAUAUCUCCCCAUCUAUUGUUACAUAUAACACAUUGAUUAAUGGCUAUUUCAAGUACGGAAGAUCAGUUAGCGCUAUCAAGACAUUUAGGAGGUUGCAGAAAUUUGGUUUCUCUCCUGAGCUAGUUACAUAUAAUACAAUGCUUGAUGGGCUCUUUAAAUCUGGUAAACUAGGUCAGGUAAGAAGCAUUUUUAAGGAGAUUAGAGAAUCAGGUAUUAUUCCUAAUGCUAUAACCUAUACUACUGUUAUGAAAUGCUGGUUUAAGUCUCGAAAGUUUGAGCAAGGCUUAGAUUUAUUCUCCGAGAUGAUGAGCAAAGAAUAUACAUCUGAUGUGUUCGCUUAUUGCACUGUUAUUAGUGCCCUAGUCAAGAGGGGUAAGACUGAAGAUGCUCAUCUAUGCAUCCAGCAGAUGCUUAAAAAUGGUAUUGGGAUUGAUCUGGCUUGUUAUAAUGUUAUAAUUAACGUGUAUUGCAAGGAAAAAAAUAUGAAUAAUGCAUUGCAGCUGGUGAAUGAGAUCGAAGAAGCUGGUCUGCAAAGUGAUGAGUACACAUACUCUACGUUGGUAGAUGGGUUCUGCAAAUUAGGCGAUGUUAAUUCUGCUAGGAAUCAUUUGCGUGUUAUGGAAAUAAGUGGCUUAAGUAUGAACUUGGUAGCUUACAAUUGCCUUAUUGAUGGGUUAUGCAAAGCUGGACAGGUGGAUCAUGCCAUUAGUGUAUUCAAGAUGAUGAAGAUACGAGAUUCUUUCACAUACACGGCUCUGUUGCAUGGUCUAUGUAAAGUGGGCAGGUUCCGUGUUGCAUCUAAAUUCCUAUGGACUUGCUUGAGGAAGGGAGUUGAGGUGCUCAAGUCUGCUCAACUUGCAGUCCUUCGUGGUCUCCGGUGCUCAGGAUUUGGAAAGGAUGCAAAGAUACUCAAGGCAGCUAUAUGGAGGGCUCGAUUCUUGCAUGACAUAAAAUGUCUUGGGCUAGAUGCUCACUAUUAGGAACAAAUUCAAGAUGUAUGGCAACAUAAUGUUGAGUUUCUUUUCUUACAAUUACGUGCUAUUGUGAAGACAAAGGGAAUUUGGGAACUAGCAGUUUGCUGUGGCCUCGCAAGCUUGAUUUUGGUUCAAAGAUGUCUCACUUCCAGAAAACUUGUUUGGUUAGAUCUCUCUGUUUAAUUCUAACUUUAUUUUAUACUUUCAAUAUCUUUGUUGCAGCCAUUAAGUAAGAAUAAGACAGCUGUAGAAAAAAGUUUGAAGAGAAUUAAUGCUUGGCCUAAAAAUGGCAGAUUUAUCUGUCAAUCUGGUUGAGAAGCCAACAGAGCACGAUGCCAAUGAAAAGAUUACUGAAGGUUAUCAAGGUUGAUCAUGAUGCCCAUGGUGUGCAGAAACUCCUGAAGAUUUUUGGUAAGGUAGAAGCACAUCUCGUGAACAAAGGUAAACAUUUGUGAAAUGAUUUCCCAAUCCAAGCGUUCUCUAAUGUUGGUGAAGCCUCUAUAUCGAGCAAUUUUGUUAUUACCUGCUGUUGUUCUGAGACGAAUUUGGUCAUGGUUUUGACAUCUUAGCACUGGUUUAUGCUCAUUGCUUGUCAUUGAAGGCCCAAUUGUUAAUGAAACCUGCACUGAAUUGUGCAUGGCCCCUGGAAACAGAACAUCCAGUUGGAUUGUAUACUAUUCAGGUGGCCUAACAUAGUAACUUCAAUC
Dendrobium catenatum is the source of this 2358-nucleotide RNA transcript. It is a transcript of the gene named putative pentatricopeptide repeat-containing protein At4g17915, with no coding region annotated. The record is from RefSeq and is a predicted model, not a curated record. Lineage: Eukaryota; Viridiplantae; Streptophyta; Magnoliopsida; Asparagales; Orchidaceae. The transcript is spliced from 4 exons.